Molecule: ribosomal RNA, 429 nt
Filed under: Actinomycetes bacterium
Lineage: Bacteria; Bacillati; Actinomycetota; Actinomycetes
Description: Actinobacteria bacterium partial 16S ribosomal RNA
Rfam family: Bacterial small subunit ribosomal RNA
Source: RNAcentral
UAGGGAAUCUUCCGCAAUGGGCGAAAGCCUGACGGAGCAACGCCGCGUGAGUGAUGAAGGUCUUCGGAUCGUAAAACUCUGUUAUUAGGGAAGAACAAAUGUGUAAGUAACUAUGCACGUCUUGACGGUACCUAAUCAGAAAGCCACGGCUAACUACGUGCCAGCAGCCGCGGUAAUACGUAGGUGGCAAGCGUUAUCCGGAAUUAUUGGGCGUAAAGCGCGCGCAGGCGGGUUUUUAAGUCUGAUGUGAAAGCCCACGGCUCAACCGUGGAGGGUCAUUGGAAACUGGAAAACUUGAGUGCAGAAGAGGAAAGUGGAAUUCCAUGUGUAGCGGUGAAAUGCGCAGAGAUAUGGAGAAACACCAGUGGCGAAGGCGACUUUCUGGUCUGUAACUGACGCUGAUGUGCGAAAGCGUGGGGAUCAAACAGG